RNAcentral lists this ribosomal RNA (376 nucleotides) under uncultured bacterium. Its description in RNAcentral is "bacterial SSU rRNA". It matches the Rfam family "Bacterial small subunit ribosomal RNA", at positions 28 to 409 of the family's 1533-position model. The record is from RNAcentral.
GAUGAACGCUAGCGGCAGGCUUAACACAUGCAAGUCGAGGGGUAGAAGGAGCUUGCUCCUUUGAGACCGGCGCACGGGUGCGUAACGCGUAUGCAAUCUACCUUUUGCAGAGGAUAGCCCAGAGAAAUUUGGAUUAAUACCUCAUGGUAUGUGAGGAUGGCAUCAUUUUCACAUUAAAGUCACAACGGCAAAAGAUGAGCAUGCGUCCCAUUAGCUAGUUGGUAAGGUAACGGCUUACCAAGGCUACGAUGGGUAGGGUCCUGAGAGGGAGAUCCCCCANACUGGUACUGAGACACGGACCAGACUCCUACGGGAGCAGCAGUGAGGAAUAUGGACAAUGGGCGCAAGCCUGAUCCAGCCAUGCCGCGUGCAGGAU